CGUGGAGUUUUUCCCAGCUCCGACGGGAUGGCGCUCGUGACUAGGUCCGCCGCCUUGAAUCACACGAGCGUGUGUAUACCCGUGUGACCCAAGGCGGCGGAACUAGCGACGAGCGCCCUUCCAUCGGAGGUGGGUUAGAAUUUCACGA
MicroRNA precursor from Ectocarpus siliculosus, 148 nucleotides. It matches the Rfam family "MIR3454 microRNA precursor family". The record is from Rfam. NCBI's taxonomy places the organism in Eukaryota, Phaeophyceae, Ectocarpales, Ectocarpaceae.